This 15758-nucleotide long non-coding RNA is filed under the name Homo sapiens (human). RNAcentral describes it as "HSALNT0258055". The stretch from base 10828 to 10981 matches the Rfam family "Metazoan signal recognition particle RNA". Lineage: Eukaryota; Metazoa; Chordata; Mammalia; Primates; Hominidae. The record is from RNAcentral.
AGCUUUCCUCAUGACUACUCCAGGAGGAGCCACAGUUUCAUCACCAUGACACGCGACCCAUUUGCUGGCAUGAACUCACUGCAUCUGCACCAGGGGACACCCCCCCUCCAUGCAAUGGCGUGCCCUCUCCCCUCUCCAUCAUCCCACAAGACCCUGCUGUCCCUUUCCCUCAGGGACACACUGCUUGGGGAAUACGCCCAUGUCCUCCUUACUUGUGCCAAGUAAUAAAACUCCUGUUGAUCAACACCUGCCUUCUCAUGGAGAGUCAUUUGUUACUUGCCAGGUAAACUCCCGUUUCAUCAGGGAAUAGACUCAGGACCUGAGAGACCUGGAUUCAGAAUCCCAGCUUAGAGUCAUUGGACAAGUUACUUAGAAUCCUCUAUUGGCCGGGCAUGGUGGCUCACACCUAUAAUCCCAGCUCUUUGGGAGGCUGAGGUGGGAUUACUCAUCCCACCUCAGGAGGAUUGCUUGAAGCCAGGAGUUUAAGAUCAGCCUGGGCAACAUAGUAAGACCCUGUCUCUACAAAAUAAAAAAUAAUAAUAAAAGGCUGAGUACAUUGGCUCACACCUGUAAUCCCAGCACUUUGGGAGACUGAGGUGGGCCGACUACCUGAGGUCAGGAGCUCGAGACCAGCCUGGCCAACAUGCUGAAACCCCGUGUCUACUGAAAAUACAAAAAAUUAGCCGAGCAUGGUGAUGUGUGCCUGUAAUCCCAGGUACUCAGGAGGCUGAAGCAGGAGAAUCACUUGAACCCAGGAGGCGGAGGCCGCAGUGAGCCAAGACUGCACCACUGCACUCCAGCCUGGGUGACAGAGUAAGACUCCAUCUCAAAAACAACAACAACGAUGAUAAUAAUUAAUACAGAAUCCUCUAAUCUCAGUUUUCUCAUCUGUUUAAAGAAAUAAAACCACUUCUUCCUCAGGGGGCUAUGGUGAUCCUAGACAGAAAGGGCCCAGCCCAGCUAUGUGUACCUGGAGUUUCCACGACAGUCCUGUCCAUUAUUAAUGCAAUUUCCAUUUCUGUUGUAAAGACUGCUUCCACCACACCUGCCUAAUGACAAAGCCUCACCUUCAAAGCUGGGGCAUAAGGAUGUCUGUGGCUGCUAGAUCUGGAGUAGGGGCUCUCAGCCCCCUACUCUCAUUUGAACAAGGCAGCAACCAUGCUCACGGGAUGCCAAGGAGAGAGACAAGUGAGGCUGGUGGCAGCUGGCCGAGAGGGUCCCCGUCCUACCUGGCCAGGCCAAGAAAGCUGUUGAUGCAUCCCAAGACCUAGCAAGACUUACUUUCUCAGUCACCUUGAAAGGAAGGACAAGCCUCCAAGUCGGCUCCUUGGGAGUGGAGAGAAGAAGUUUCCUCCACUCCACUGCUGAGAGUUACAAAAGGAGCCAUUAGCACUUGCCAAGCAAGGCCACCUUCCAUCUGAGGGAGAAAGUGCAAAAGACAGUUUAAAAGCCUCAUUAACACAAGGCAACAAGUCACAGGUGAAAAUUGAGCCUCUGAGGCCCUGCUGAUUGCACGGGGGGGAAGGCAUUUGCAUCUCUUCUCACCACAGAGGGGUGGCAGCCAAUUACCUCCAGGAUUAGAAAAAAGUUGCAAACCUGAGUCUAUCUUCACUGACGGGCUUGAAUUCCCUGCCAUGUGCCCCUCGCUAAAGCCUCCGCUUUGUGUAUGAGAAAAAAAGCCUCUAAGACCUGUGGGAAAACAUAAAAUCUGGAAGCAAGUUCACCCGUGGCUGACCAGAAGCAGAAAUGUUGCUUCCUUUGUGCAAGCCCUUCCUGGCUGGGCCAGAACAUCAGCUAAUGCAGCCUGGCACGUGGUCUGGCAGGAUAGGCCCUGCCAAUUAGAAAUUCAAACACAAUCAGUGUAAUGCCUAUGCUUUUGCUCCCUACAGGCCGUGCAGGAAACAGAAGCCCUGCGUGUCUGUGUCCCCUAAAUAAAUGACUCUGGUUCAUUCACUGCCUCCUACCCACUCCCUUGCCAGCUGUUAUGUGUGGGUUGUGGAGAAACCCCGCAGUGCCCUGCAGGGGCUUCUUCCUGCCCUUGGGGUCUAUGGGAAUGCUGGUUGCCUACAUAGUGCACACUCAAAUGUCUUCAGCGCCCAAGGCUGUCACUUUCUCAGCUCCCUGCCUACUCAGGUCUACGAAGUCAACUGCAAGGUUGUGGUCCAUUCUUUCCACACCAACCCUGGCCACGGGACCUUAGCCCUUUCAGAACUCAGGGUGCUGAAAUGUCUGAGAAGUUUCCCCAAGGAACGUCACCGAGCUGUCCCCUCCCCAACAACCUAGGGCAGCACAGGUCUCCAUCCAUUGCCCCUGAAGCCCCCAAUGUCUCUUUCUCCCUCCCACCCUCAGGGAGGCUCACUGACCCCCGCUUAAUUAUGCCGUGUCCUCCGUUGAAGACCUCCUCAAUGGGGAAGUGAGUACUGGCAGGGGAAGACCACAGUGGGGAAUUUUAGGUGUGAAGUGUUCUAUGAAUACAUCUUCAUCUGGGCGGCGGCCACACAGACACAGGUGGGCAUAAACAUGAGGUACAAUGGCUGGACACUCAGUAUUCAUGCACAGACAUGUGUUACUGUGUGUGUGUGAUACUUCAGUUUUAAAAUUAUGACACCCCACCCCAAAAAAAUUAAUUAUCUUAGACCAAGCAUGGCAAACAGCCAACAUACAGUCCCUCAGAGUGGCAAUUUCCUAAGUUCAACCAAGUAUUUUUGGCCGGGUCUGAACUAUGUGUGCUUUUAACAAAAAUUUGUUUCCAACCUUUAAAAUGGAAGAUUUUACAUAAAAAUUUUGAAUUUCUGGCUCCCACUAAAAGCCUAAGGGGCACUUGAUCUCCAGUUGUAGCCAUUUGGAUUUGCAAGCUCUUUUUCAGUCAUUAAAAUACAAAAUACAAAGACCCCAACCAGCUGCUGGAAAGGUAUUGGGGCUACUUUCCAGGACUGCACUGGACAGGGGUGGGAUGGGGAGGAGCUGGGCAUAGGGAAUGCUGUUGUAAAUGCAGUUAUUUUUUUAACCUUUUUUUCUGCUAUAUCAAGCAAAAACAUUAAAGUAAAAAAUACAUAUAAUGUGUAUACAUAUAUAUACAUGCAUACGUACCUAUCUAUCUAUACAUACAUAUUUUCCCCUUUCUUUCACUUAAAUCUUCACUCACUAGUUCCUGUUUGAUUAUUUUUUUCUCCCUCUCAUCCAUUGCUAUUAAUUUCUGGCAGCAAUUUAUAAAUGCCCCACUACUCUAAGAACCAUUGAAAUCACAGUUGGAAACCUCGAUAAUUUCACCAAGGCAGAAGCAAUUAAAUGCAAACAUUGGCAAAAAUUUUUAACGCUGCAGAAAAUCACGAAAAUGCCAAGACCUACGACUCGUUCCAGCACCGUGGGGGCUGACACCCAUCUCACUGCUGGAUAAAAGAGAAUGAGAUCCUCUCUCCAUCCUACGUUGGAUUUGCUUGCUCACACAAACUGACCCUUAGGGACAGAAUUGUUCAACUACAAUUAGAUUUAGUUAACUAAUCCUGGAAGCGAAGCUUAGCAUAUCAGACAGGGUUCUGGCAGGAGACUCACUGCCCUCAGAAAGUUCACCCUCACAGGCUGCAACGCAGUGACUGUCUACAGCGAUGGGGAUGUGGCAGGGGCUAAGGAAGCCAACAAGAGAUUGUCACCUUCUUAGAGGAGAAAGCCAAGAUGGGGAGAUAUUAACCCCUAUGCGUGAAAACAUGAGGGGAGGAAGGAAUGUUUAGCCCAGUGAGACUCAGAGGCACGAGUCAGCACCUAUUACAGACGUGGUGCAGAAACAUGGAGGACAUGGAGAAGAAAUAUCCUGACCUUGUUCCACUUUCACCCUCCAAUUCCCUGACAGUGGUUCCCAUUGACUGAGCCCAGCUCGCAGUCACAGGCAGGGAGCAGGGGUCAAUCUCCUGGUGCACAGGCAGGCUGAGGAGGGAAUGAAUGUAGGAAAGGGCUGGGGAGAGAAAAUAAGUAGCAUGCCUUACUUAAGAGCCUCAGGAUCUUUAUCUGUAAAAUUGGAUGAUAACAUCUACUUAAUAGUGCAGUUCCGAGAAUAAAAACUAAGAUAUCUAAGGCAUGCAGCACUAAAAAGUAUUGAAAAUUGUAAACUUACUCUCCUCAUCAUCAUGAGCUAUGCUUCCCUUAAACAAUGCUGUUCUGUUCCCAAUAUGAGGUAUCCCGCAGAUUAGAAUGGCUGCAUAAUUGCUUAUCCUCCAGGCCUCAUUCCCCACAAAAGGACGGCAUACUUUCUGGAGUAUAGCAUUCCUGAAAAGGGCCCCUCUAGACCAUGUUUGAUUAGUUUCAGUGAUGGUGGACUAACUGCAUCCCCAUCUCUUCUGCCACCAAAUCACUCAAAACUCAGAAAACUAUUUCUGUAUUAUCAGGACAAAGCACUCCCUAUGCAUAUUCUCCAAGGCUUCUGCACUCGGAGGUCACCAGGAAGAGAUCUGCUCUGCUCUCUCAUUCACUGGAGCCCUACAGAUCUGGGAAAGCUUUGGGUUUUUUUUUGUUUUGUUUUGUUUUGUUUUGUUUGUUUGUUCGAGAGGGAGUCUCGCUCUGUUGCCCAGGCUGGAGUGCAAUGGUGCAAUCUUGGGUGACUGCAACCUCCGCCUCCCAGGUUCAAGCGAUUUUCCUGCCUCAGCCUCCCAUGUAGCUGGGAUUACAGGCACCCACCACCACGCCCAACUAAUUUUUGUAUUUUUGGUAAAGACGGGGUUUCACCAUGUUGGCCAGGCUGGUCGCGAACUCCGGACCUCAGCUGAUCUGCCUGUCUUGGCCUCCCAAAGUGUUGGGAUUACAAGUGUGAGCCACCAGGCCCAUCCAGAAAGUUCUUAAGUUAGAUCUAUUCUUCACAAAAGAGAGGAAAGAUUGGGGUUGGGGGUGGGAACCCAGCUCUUUAUGCCAAUUAAUUAACGCACAUUGAAUGGACAGAUUUCUUUUUCUUUUUCUUUCUUUCUUUUUUUUUUUUGAGAUAGAGUCUUGCUCUGUCACCUGGGCUGGAGUGCAGUGGUGCAAUCCCGGCUCACUGCUGCCUCCACCUCCCGGGUUCAAGCGAUUGUCCUGCCUCAGCCUCCCAAGUAGCUGUGAUUACAGGCACCUGCCACCAUGCCCAGCUAAUUUUUGAAUUUUUUAGUAGAGAUGGGGUUUCACCAUGUUGGUCAGGCUGGACAGAUUUCUAAAAGACACAACUACCAAACUACUACCACUACUAAAGCCCAUUUUAGCAAGAAAUAGAUAACCUGAGAUUAAAUCCAUAGUUAAAAACCUUUCUACAAGAGAAAUACUGCAGGCCCUGAUAGCUCCACUGCUUCAAUGGUGAAUUCUACCUAAUUUUUGAGAAGAAAAGUGUAUCAAUUCUACAAAAUUAUUUCAGAAGAUAGAAGUGAAAGGAAUACUUUCUAACUAAUUUUAUGCGGCCAGAAUUUCCCUGAUACUAGAAGUAGAAAAGAAUAUGUCAGGAAAAUAAAACUACAGAUUAAUAUCUCUCAUAAGCAUGUAUACGAAUAUCAUUAGCAUGAUUUUAGAAACUGAAUCUAGCAAUAUAUUUUAAAAGACAAUAAAAUAUGACUGUGAUUUGUGAUAUAGUAAGAAUAUAUACGUAUGUAUAUACUUGGUAUAUUAGACACAGCAAAAGACAGCAUUGUUAAAUUAAGGCAAAAAUACAAAAAUAAUAAUCGAAACAGAGGCACAGAGAAAAAUAAUUGAAGGGAAAUAAAAGCCAAAUAAAGCAUCUGUAACUAGCCACAAAUAGCAAAUGAUAUAAAAUACUUGCAAGUAGAAUUCCAGAAGGAAAUAAAAGAUAGAAUGGGGAAGAAAGGGUGUUUGAAGAACUAAUGGCUAAAUUUUUGCAAAUCUAGCCACUUACCUCAACCAAGAGAUGCAAGCAGCUCAGCAAAACCCAAGAAAAGUAAAAGGGAAGAGAAUCACACCUAGGCUCAUCAUUUUUAAACUCCUUACAACCAAAUAUAUUCACACAAAAGUAGUCACAUUAGAUAUAUGGGGAAAAUGAUAAAAAUGGUGGCUCACUUAUCAGAAAUAAUGGAAGUCAGAAGAUGUCUUUAAAUUCUGAAGGAAAAAAUAAACUCUUUCAACCAAAAAUUCUAUGCUCAGCAAAAAUGUCCUUCAAAAAUAAACAAAAUAUGUAAUUACAGUUGCAUAACAGCUGAGAAAAUCCCUUGCCAAUAAACCUGAACUGUAAGAAAUGUAAAGGAAAUUCUUCAGGCUGAAGGGAAAUGAUACCCGAUGGAAACUGUUCUACAGGAAGGAAUGACUGUGCCAGAGAAGGUGAGGAAGUGCACCUUGCUGUGAGGAGAAAUCUGUGCUGUGCUCUGUGUGUGCAUCAUGGCUUAGCAGGACAGGGCAGCCACAGGCCUCCCUGCAGUGGACUUGGGACUUCUUCAAGGCCUGAGGACUGGCUCUCAGCUGGGUGCUGGGAUCUUCCUGGAGAAGCUCUUCAAGGUGUAAUGGCCUCCCCCAAAAGCAGAGUCCAGGUUCUGACAACUCUGGGUUUCUUUGGGAGAUGAAGGCAUGCGCAGAAAAUGUUGUCACCAUUACCUAGUUUUGAAGAACUUUAUGCUCUUUUUUUCAAAAAAAAAAAAAAAACAGCUAUAAAGAAUAAUAAUACAUAAUUUGCUUUCAACUUACCAAAUUAAUUUAAAGUGACGUGAUGGCCUAGCACCAUCCUCAAGAGAUACCAACCUUUACACAGAGCCAUCAUAAAUAGCAAAUAUAGAGGCUGUUAGUAAAAAAAACUCAAUGAGGCCAACUCUAUGGCUCACCGUGAAAUAAAUUUCACAGAAAUAGAACUUUAAAAAUAGAAAACUAAACAAGCAAAACUGGAUGAACUGAUUGCUGAUAUUCAAGAAGCCAAAGUCAUUGGACCCUAAAUCAUAAUCCAUCAAACAUCGAUGGUUUUUCCAAAUAGAUCAUGUCACAGAGUCUUUCCCACAUGGUCCUUCACCAGAGGAUACCAUUUGUCUUCAAGAAAAUACUUUUACACCUCUCUACUCAUAUUCUCACUUUUGCUCCCAGACUUUGUCCCCCAAACUCUUCCUAUAAUUCUACAUUUAUUUUGCUGGAGAAUUUCAUGGCCAAGGUCUCUAUGAUUUUCUGCACUUCCAGAAAGCAUUCAUGGACACCCCCCACCCCCACUUGACAAAGGCAUUUUUCUGGCCUGCCACAUCUUUCAUUGAUAACAAGGACAACAUCCUCCAAGAAUUUAUCACCAUUUUCUUUUCCCAUGUGCUAGACUUUGCCCCUCUCCCCUGCCAUCAUAAGAAUAAUACUGCAUUAUCUUCAGGGUUGAAUUUCAGUGUUCAAAUGACCUACUAGUGAACAUCUAGAAAAGUAGAAAAAACAAUUGACUUAAAAAAAUAUUUUGAAUUAUCUCUCAUUUUAAUUCAAGAAACUACUAUUACUUAAGUGAUUAUACUUUUGCCCAGAGGAAGCUUUAUAGAAUUAUUAUUCUUAGCAUAAAGGUUUGUAAGUAAAAUUAUUUAGAAUAUUUUUUGAGAGCAUGCUCUUAUUUCAGAUGCCAGGUUCAGCAUGCAGAGCUUGGAAUUCAUCACCCCAUCCUAACAAGCAAAAAGCUGAACCCACGGAAAAAUCCCUCUUCUCAGAUCUUUCGGAAAAGUGAGGUCACAGGGCAAACACUGCUCUCAAAAUUGGAGAGACAGACAGGUGAAUACAGCAACUCACAACUUAUCAGAGCAGAAACCCAUCAGCAAACACCUCUGAGGGACCCCAAGCCAGGUUAGGAAAACCUCAAAUGUCAUUGACAAAUUGCUGGAGGCUCCACAUGGACAAGUUAAAAACUCCAGAAGGACCUGGUCAUGGAGGGGUUGCACGGGACACGCUUCUGUGAGUUUUACCUUCAGGAGCUCAACCAGGUUCUCACAGUGAAUAUCAGAGAAAAAUCUCCUAGGGCUUCUGGCAGGGGAAAGGAAAAGGAACCAUUUUGAAAUCUUUCUGAGUAUUCUGUUAUUAAUAAGGCCUCACAAGAAACUAUUUCAUCAGAGCCUAAACCAUUGGAGUUUUAUCAGAGCCAACCUGGGAAAAGGAACAUGCCCAAUUCCAGCCCACCUUAGCUUUUCACACGAGAGAAAGGAAAUACCCAGCUUUAGCCACCUCUAGCCUUCAACAUGGAAACAGGGAAUACCCGAUGCCAGUCCACUCUGCCCACGCUGUCUCACCUGAUGGGCAGGUACAAAACUGAGAAGCACUGGUGAAGUUCACAGUCCAGGGGCACGAGCUCACUAAAAGACUGAGAGCUAAUUCUAGGACUAUAGAAGGCACCCCCAUAUCUUAUCACCACAUUACUAAAGGCCUGGUAACCUCAGUGUCUGGCUAUUACAUGCACAUGAAAAAUUUAUAAAGCAAACUAAAAGGCAAAAAAACAAUUGAAAGAGACAGCAAACAUCGUAAGAAGACUCAGAUGUAGCAGAGAUGCUGGGGUACUAUCAGACCAGGAAUUUAAAACGAUUAUUACUAACGCACUGAGGGCUCUAUCUAAUGGAUGAAGUAGACAGCACACAAGAACAGAAGGGUGAUGUAAGCAGAGAGGUGGAAACUCUAAGAAAACAUUUUUUUAAUGCCAGAGAUCGAUAACACAGUUACAGAAAUGAAGAAUGUCUUUGCUGGGCUCAUUAGUAGACUGGACACAGCUGAGGAAAGAAUCUUUGAGCUUGAGGAUAUGUCAGUAGAAAUUUUCAAAAUGAAAAAGCAAGGGAAAAGAAAUCUACCCAAAACAGAACGGAAUAUCCAAGAACCAUGGGGCAGCUAAGAAAGGUGUAACCUACAUGUAAUGGGAAUACCAGAAGAAGAAAGAGUGAAAGAAGUGUUUGAAGCAAUAUUUGCUGAGAAUUUCCCCCAAAUUAAUGUUACAAAAAACAAAACUACACAUCCAGGGAGCUCAGAGAACACCCAGCAGGGUAAAUUAAAAAAAAAUAAAAAAAAAAUAUAUAUAAGCACAUCAUAGUCCAACUGCAAAAAAUCAAAGAUGCAGAAAAAUAUUAAAAGAAGCCGGGGUGAGUGGGGAACACCUUAGCUACAGAGGAGCGAAGAUAACAGUUACAUCAGACUUCCCAGAAGCCAAUCUGAAGAGACCAUAUACCGUAUGAUCCCAGCUCUAUGACAUUCUGGGCAAGGCAAGUUAUGCAGACAGUAAAACGAUCAGUGGUUACUAAGGAUUACAGGGAAGCACAUGCAGGGCACAGGGGAUUUUAGGGCAGCAAAACUACUCUGUGUGACUCUACAGUAGUGGAUCCAUGUCAUUACGCAUUUGUUCAAACCCACAGAAUGCACAACACCAAGAGGGCCCCCUCAUUUAGUUUAUGGACCUGGGUGACAGCAAACGGUCCAUGUAGUUUCAGCAAUUAUGACAUAUGUCCCAUUCUGGUGCAGGAUGUUGAUAGUUGGGGAGGCUGUGCCUCUGUCAGGGCGUAAGUAUAUGAGAAACCUCUGUACUCUCUGCUCAAUGUUGCUGUGAACCUAAAACUGCCCUAAAAAUUAAAAUCUAUUCAAAAAUACAUGUUCUAGGCCAGAUGCAGUGGCUCACGCCUGUAAUCCCAGCACUUUGGGAGGCCAAGGUGAGCGGAUCACUUGAGGUCAGGAGUUUGAGACCAGCCUGGCCAACAUGGUUAAACCCCGUCUCUACUAAAAAUACAAAAAUUAGCUGGGCGUGGUGGUGUGUGCCUGUAGUCCCAGCUACUCGGGAGGCUGAGGGAAAAGAAUUGCUUGAACCUAGGAGGCGGAGGUUGCAGUGAGCCGAGAUUGGGCCACUGCACUCCAGUCUGGCAACAGAGGGAGACUCCAUCUCAAACAAAACAAAACAAAACAAAAACAUGUUCUAAAGACCACAAUGAAAUACCAUACCACUACAAUUCCACUAGAAUGACCAAAAUGAAAUCAAUGUUAGAGAGUCUGUGGAAUAAUUACAUACUCCUAUACCGCUGUUGAGUGUUUAGUACAAUACUUAGAAAACUGUUCAGUAAUUUCUUAAGAUGCUAAGCAUACAUCUACCCUAUGACCCAGCAAAUAUACUUCCAUGUAUUUAUCCAAGAGAAAUGAAAAUAUGUGCUCACACAAAGCCUUUUAUAAGAAUGUUCACAGCAGCUUGAUUCACAAUAAUCCAAUGUUUGAAAACUUUCCAAAGUCCACCAACAAGUGCAUAAACUGUGAUAAAUUCACACAAUGGAAAUCACUUCAGCCAUGACAAGGAAUGAACUACUUAUCAUACAACAUGAAUUCUCAAAGUGCACUCAGCGAAUGAAGCCAGACACAAAAAAGUGUAUGCAAUGUGAUUCCAUUUAUAUGAAGUUACAGUGUACGCCAAAUGGUGGAGGGAUAGAUUGGGAAGGUGUGGAAGGACAUAUUCUGGGAUAUAUGUAAAUGUCCUGUCUUGCUAUGCAUGUGCCAAAAUUGAGUAGACGGUACACUUGACUUGUGUGUAAAUUAGGCCUCAAUUUCAAAGGGCAUGUUCUCUGGUAAUUACCUCUUUCCACUAGAGUCCAGGGCACAAGGAAUAUGAAAGCAGGGUUUUGAUGCAAACAGACAGGCUUUAGGGCAAUAAUCUUAAGAAUACUGAGCUCACAACACAGCUCAACACUCAGAGCAAAGGGAGGGUAGCCUGUGUCCUGCCUGUGUAGCCACCUCUUCUCCUGCUAUACCUGACUCUUCCCAGACCCCACCAGAGCUGUAGCAAAGACCAGGGAGUGGCCAGGCAUGGUGGGUCACGCCUAUAAUCCCAGCAGGAGUAAAGCUUGAGUCUAGGAGUUUAAGACCAGCCUAGACAACACAGCAAGACCCCAUCUCUAAAAAUCAUUUUUUUAAUUAGCUGGGUGUGGUGGCGUGCACCUAUAGUCCCAGCUACUUGGGAGGCUGAGGCAGGAGGAUUGCUUGAGCCUAGGAUUUUGGAGGCUGCAGUGAGCUAUGAUGGCACCACUGUACUGUACUCCAGCCUGGGUGACAGAGUGAGACUCUGUCUCAAAAAAGAAAUAAAUUAAAAAAAAAAAGAACUGUUGAAGGCAAAGUUUUUCCACAAUAUUUUGCCAUUGUAGACAGUGAAGCAUGCUUCUCCAGUCUUACUCUGAGGCUCUGAGUUCAUCAGAAUGAUUGAAAGUUCUGCUUUCAAAAUCAAUGGGAAAAGUGUCAUCUUUGAUGACAUAAGACAAUGAUGUAGAGGGAAUAUGGAAUUAUCCAUCUUCUCACUGCUGGGGGAAGCCGCAUGCACCACAGAAGUGGCAUGAGGCUUUCAUGAUAGCUGCUCACCUCCUAAAGCUCAUCCAAGUGACAUGCUGCUUGACAGCCUGUUGCAUAUUCAAGCCAGAGGUUGCAACCAAUGGGGGUUUGCUGAUAUGAAUGGCUUGGCUUGCUGAGUUGCCAACACUGAAAAAUUAGAGUUUUAUGUGAAAGUCUGGGUUUCCAUCUUCUCUAGAAAAAUCAGAGCAAAUCAGAUAAAUGUGGAAUCAUUAUGAAUAUGAAUAACACUGCUCCAGAAUCCCAUGAUGGUGAGACCCACCAGCAUUCUGUGGGGGCUGGUCUCCUGGACAGGGCUGUGCCACCUCCACUUGCCCGCGGUGAUCACUUGGCCCAUUUCCCCCCCCUUGUGAAUUGUUGAACUCAAAGUUUAAGGUUUCCCUUAAUUAUAGUCAUUUGACCUUCCUCACUUCCAAGAGCUCAGGAGAAACUUUCCCAUCGGCGAUAAAGCAACAUUUUAUAUAAAUUGCAAAAAUUAAACCACAGAGCCAAUUACUGCCUGAGCUGCUCACACAGUGUUUCAGGGGACGUUGAAGAAAGGGUUCUGACCUUGAGAAAUCUUCUCAGCUCUGGUUCUCAAUUUUCUGACCUAUAAGAUAAGAAAAUGAACUCAACCAUCUCCAGUGGCUCAUUCCUCUAUGAUAAAAUAUCUAACCCUAAUUGUCUUGGCAAAGACAGCCCCUUGGCAUCAGGGAGGCUGUUGUACAAGGUCUGACCCACUUCUCAUUCAAUUUAUUCAGAAAAGCAUGUGUUCGUAAAACCUUCCUUCAUGGCCAAGCUGGCGUGUAAACGGCUGCUCAUCGCAGCCAGCACUUAAGAAUACUGAGCUCUUGAUAUGGUUCAAAAUGAAGAGAGACAGGCAGCCUGUGCUCUGCCUGAGUAUCUCCUCCUGGGGCACCACAGUCUGUCCCCAGCCCCACCAAGGCAGCAAUGGGGACCCUUGACAUCAAGGGUAGAUUUAAACAUCAAAGUCCCGUUGAACCCAGGCAUGAAAUUUCCCCAGAUGUGUUCACAUUCAGGUUACAAAUGAAGUGGAAAAGGCUUAAGACACAUGCAAAAACCUCUUGACAAAAACAUCAGGGAAAUAUUUGUGGAUGAAUUCGAGGAGGUUUCAGAAGGUCGAUUCUUCCCUCAAAUACGAUAAUCUAGCAAUAAUCUCACCAAGCAAUCUGCAUGCUUGAAGAUGGUCACAUUUGUUGUUAAGUUUAUGUCAAUUUAAGGUCAAAUAUAUGUGACUGUAAAUAUAUGACCUUAUGUAAGGAAAGUAUCUACACACAUACGUAAUAAAUAUGCAACUAACAUUUAAUUAACUGAUUCUGUGCACUAAGUAAUUUCCAAAGGUAUACUAUACUAUCAUCUUUGAUUUUUUUUUCUUUUCUUUUCUUUUUUUUUGAGACGGUUUUACUCUUGUCAUCCAGGCUGGAGUGCAAUGGCACAAUCUCGGCCUACUGCAACCUCUGCCUCCUGGGUUCAAGCGAUUCUCCUGCAUCAGACUCCUGAGUAGCCGGGAUUAAAGGUGCCCACCACCAUGCCCAGCUAAUUUUUGUAUUUUUAGUAGAGACGGGGUUUCACCAUGUUGGCCAGGCUAGUCUCGAACUCCUGACCUCAGGUGAUCUGCCCACCUCGGCCUCCUAAAAUCCUGGGAUUACAGGCAUGAGCCACCGUGCCUGGCCCACCUUUGAUUCUUUAAAGUUCCACUUUACACAUCAGGAAAACUGAGGCUCGGGAAGGUGAAACAACCCGUCCAAGACCACACAGCUAGGAUGGGCAGAAACCUAGCAGUGCUGGACUUUUCACUCGGCUAGCUGGGCACCAAUGCUUUGAGUCUAAUGCUUAUGCUUUGGGUUAUGACAUCAUCCUUCCUCUCAUGCUGCAUGGAAAUUAAGAGUUCCCUGAACCUUGUUAAAUCAACAGAUAACCUUUCUGUCCACACGGUGAGGAUGGCAGCAUUCACAACCUCCUUUUAUUUGACCAGAGGUGUUCAGACACAUGCAUGUCCUUGAUAAGAGUCAGAUACAAUUAGAGAGAGUGCGAAGGAACUGGAAGGAGCUGUGGAUUGAGAGCACUGUGUAAUCUCGACCUCCCGUGCCUUCGGGGCUAAUAUGUCAAGGUUUCCACGGACCCCCUGGACACUUAAGGACUUGUGUGCAUGCAUGGAGUACUCUUCCUCUGUCUUUUGGAAAGCCAUGGAUAAAAUAAUGACAAGAGACAAUGCUGGCCACCUACUGUGCAUGAGGUUGUGCUCUCUCAGCCACCCUACAAGGCUGGAACUUGCCCCUACUUGACCUGGGCUGCAAAUGAGAAAUUUACAGCCAGGAGCUCUCAGGGUCUGAGGGAGAGCCCCGAUCCCAGGGCAGGACCCAGAGGUCUGAUUUGUCUGCUCUGACCUGAUAGGUUCUCCUCACUCUCUGAAAGAAAGCCUGCGAGAGCAAACUGGCCUUUGCACCCCAUCUGUCUGGAAUGCCCUCUUUCCCAGGAGCCUCACCUCUCCCUGCCUGUACAACUCCUAAGGCUCCAGGGACCAGCUCUAACUUCCUCUCCUUGGUGCUGCAGCCUCUGCUGCUCUAGCAGAGGGAGGAGGGUCCUUGCUCUGAGCCCCUGCUACUCCUUUGAGGUGCCUUAGGCCCAGCAACAAUGGGCUGUCCAUUGCUGGCUGGUUUAUCCCCAUGUGUGACAGUCCAUUUGCAUUGCUGUAAAGGAACACCUGCGAUUGGGUGAUAUAUAAAGAAACGAGGUUUAUUUAGCUCACAGUUCUGCAGCCGUGCAAGCAGCAUGGUGCUGGCAUCUGCUCCUGGUGAGGCCUCAGGAAACUUACAAUCACGGUGGAAGGAGGAGAGGGAGCAGGCGAGUGUCACAUGGAGAGAAAGGAAGCAAGAGAGAGAACCUUUAGACAACCAGCUCUUGUGUGAACUCAUUACCUCAGAGAGCACACCAAGCCAUUCAUGAGGGAUCCGCCCCCAUGACCCAAUCAGCUCCCACCAGGCCCCACCUCCAACACUGGGAAUCACAUUUCAACAGAGAUUUGGAGGGGACACACACCCAAACCAUCUAAGCGCUGGAGGCUGGAGCUCCGUGGCAAGCUUGUGCCUGGACUGCAGCGCUAACCACUAGCACCGACAGGCCUGUCCUCAGCUUCUCUCUGGCAGCAGCUGGCCUGUGGCCUCCUCUGCCUCUCCCUGCAACCAGCUAAUGACCCCUUCCCUCUAGAGGCUUCAGGGUCCUUCAAUCUGUGCCCUUCUCCCCCAAAGCCCCUCGCCUGAGCUCACAGCAGGCUGUCACAUAUGCUGGCCUUGUUCAGGCCCUAGAAAUGGCUUUUGGAUCAGUGUUUCUUUCCUGCACCUUCUUCAAGAGAGCUGAGGCUCAGCAGGGCCCAGGCCUGGCCACAGGGAUUGUCAAUGAUUCUUCAGAGGCUAUUGACAAGGCCCCACCUGGCAAGCUGGCAUCCGAGGACCCAGGCAGGACCUGAGCCCUGCUGCCUCAGCAGCCAGCUUCCUGUAGGCCCCUGAACACACUUUCCAAACUGAGGACUGAUUCUCAUCAUGGCCAUACUCCUGUCUCCCAGCUCCUGCUCCCACAGAGCUUCCUGCUCUAGAACCAAGCUUUCUUAGAGUCUCCCCGCCCUGCCUCGACCCAGGCUGGCCUUUGCAGUGGAGGCAGCCCCACCCAGAGCCAGAGCUUCACCACCUCUGCCAACUGCAAGCAGCCCCCGCCUUGUGCUGGCAGGUAUGGCGAAAAUGGGAGAGACUGAGUUCCAGUUGGGAGGAGAGAGAGACAGGAGAUGAGGAGAACAUGAGCUCAGUAAUUCAGCUUGAGUACCUAACACAGACAUGGGGUGAGGGGGCUCCGUAGGACCAUGGGAGCGUUCUGCACUGACCUGCAUAGGAUAGGGCUUGAAUAAAGUUUUACUCGAAUCACUUUUCCCACCAUUGAACAUGGACUGUAUAUUCAGCUCUGCAAUUUGCACUUCCAUUUAGUAUUUUUAAAAAAGGUUUCCAUGUCAAUCCACACUGACCCAUAAUAGAGCUGCUUCGAGCAUCAUCAGAUUGGGAGCUGCAGAGGGGCGGGGGACGGAGCUGCCCCUCGUGCUCCUUCCUCCUUUCCCCCACCACACACUCAGACACAUACACAGAGAGACAUACACAGACACGCACACACACACAAACACAGACAUGCACAGAGACACACACAGGCACACACACACACAGACACAUAAACACAGACACACACAGACACACACACAGAGACACACAUAAACACACAGACACACACACAAACAUACACAUACACACACAUACACAGAGGCAUAAAAAGAUACACACAAAGAGAAACACACACAGAUACACACAGAGAGACAUAGACAUACACAGAAACACACAGACAAGUACAGACACACACAGAAAGAUACUCACAUAGACACACAGAGGGACAUACACACAAAGACAUACAGACACACACACAAAGACACACACAUGGGCACACAUACAGUGCAGAGUUUCUUUACAGCCAGA